This is a long non-coding RNA of Sinocyclocheilus grahami, 177 nucleotides long. RefSeq lists it as uncharacterized. The transcript has 3 exons. The record is from RefSeq and is a predicted model, not a curated record. NCBI's taxonomy places the organism in Eukaryota, Metazoa, Chordata, Actinopteri, Cypriniformes, Cyprinidae.
CUACAUGACUUAAAAAGCCUCAGUGUCCAUCUAAAAUUCUUUAGACCAGAGGAAUAUUAAAAUGUGGAUAAAUCAACUCAUCAGCUUAAGUGUAAGGCUCAUUGUCUUCCAUUGUCAAUUGCGCUUGUUCCAGUUGCAUGUCCUCAAUCUGGCAAUCGAUGUGAGAAUUGAGUUUGA